AGCUUCCUGGAUCUGUGAAGAGAUUUCGUCAGACACCAUCCCACCAGGGUUGACCAGACUUCCGAGAUAAGUGAAGUU
This is a non-coding RNA of Schistosoma haematobium, 78 nucleotides long. The record is from Rfam. NCBI's taxonomy places the organism in Eukaryota, Metazoa, Platyhelminthes, Trematoda, Strigeidida, Schistosomatidae.